GACGAACGCUGGCGGCGUGCUUAACGCAUGCAAGUCGAACGGAAAGGCCCUGCUUUUGUGGGGUGCUCGAGUGGCGAACGGGUGAGUAACACGUGAGUAACCUGCCCUUGACUUAGGGAUAACUUCAGGAAACUGGGGCUAAUACCGGAUAGGAGCUCCUGCUGCAUGGUGGGGGUUGGAAAGUUUCGGCGGUUGGGGAUGGACUCGCGGCUUAUCAGCUUGUUGGUGGGGUAGUGGCUUACCAAGGCUUUGACGGGUAGCCGGCCUGAGAGGGUGACCGGCCACAUUGGGACUGAGAUACGGCCCAGACUCCUACGGGAGGCAGCAGUGGGGAAUAUUGCACAAUGGGCGGAAGCCUGAUGCAGCAACGCCGCGUGCGGGAUGACGGCCUUCGGGUUGUAAACCGCUUUCGCCUGUGACGAAGCGUGAGUGACGGUAAUGGGUAAAGAAGCACCGGCUAACUACGUG
RNAcentral lists this ribosomal RNA (468 nucleotides) under uncultured bacterium. RNAcentral's name for it is "partial 16S ribosomal RNA". It matches the Rfam family "Bacterial small subunit ribosomal RNA", at positions 28 to 507 of the family's 1533-position model. The record is from RNAcentral.